Long non-coding RNA from Ictalurus punctatus (channel catfish), 663 nucleotides. NCBI's taxonomy places the organism in Eukaryota, Metazoa, Chordata, Actinopteri, Siluriformes, Ictaluridae. The record is from Ensembl.
GUUUCCAGAAAAGGCCUAUUUCACUUACCCAUAGAAUUGAAACCAGGGGUUUUAAUUUACACAUAAAAUCAGAACCCAGGCAUUUCCAACAACCCAGGAAACAAAAACCCAGAGUUUCUAGUUACCUAGGUUGUCAAAAACCAGGAUUUUCAUUUACCUAGGUAGUCAGAAACCAGGAUUCUCAAUUCCCUAGGUUAAAAAAAUGACGUAAGCAAGACGACUAAACAACCGGGAGGGACCUUGGUCUUAUCGUUAUCUCGAGGGGGGGGGGGGGGGCAGCCACCCUUAUAACUGGCUUUCUUCAUGGUUCUCUAAAAAUUAAGGCUUUCCUUGCGAGACGAGAAUCUUCACCAUCUGAAUCAUGAGUGCCGGUGCCCGUCGUCAGUCCCCUCUCUCUCCGUUACUGGACCUGGAUCAGGGUUUGGACCUGGAUCUGGACACUCAUUACCAGCUUGUGCAUCUCACUGCUGAUAUCAUGAUGCUACUUAACUAUCUUCGCAGCACCCCCCCUAAGAAUGGAGAUCCGGGGUUCCCCCCUCUUCUUCGGUACAGAAUCUGCCCCACGAACGUGCGUGUUGACGCCUCUACACAGUCAGACCCAGAACCCCCCUCCAGCUUCCAAUCCGAGGAUGAUGAUGUUGUCUUCUCCGAUCCGGGCCCCUG